CUGGAAUGGUUCCUGACUAAAAUCUAUAUGGCCUCUGGAUUGGACUGCGGCCGAUCAGGCUGUUGGUGAGGUAAUGGCCCACCAAACCUGUAACCGGUACGGGCUCUGAGAGGAGGAGCCCGGAGAUGGGCACUGAGACAAGGGCCCAGGCCCUAUGGGGCGCAGCAGGCGCGAAACCUCUGCAAUAGGCGAAAGCCUGACAGGGUUACUCUGAGUGACUUUCGCUAAGAAAGUCUUUUGGCACCUCUAAAAAGGGUGCAGAAUAAGGGGUGGGCAAGUCUGGUGUCAGCCGCCGCGGUAAUACCAGCACCCCGAGUGGUCGGGACGAUUAUUGGGCCUAAAGCAUCCGUAGCCGGUUCUGCAAGUCCCCCGUUAAAUCCAGCUGCUCAACAGAUGGGCCGCGGAGGAUACUACAGAGCUAGGAGGCAGGAGAGGCAAGCGGUACUCAGUGGGUAGGGGUAAAAUCCGUUGAUCCAUUGAAGACCACCAGUGGCGAAGGCGGCUUGUCAGAAUGCGCUCGACGGUGAGGGAUGAAAGCUGGGGGAGCAAACCGGAUUAGAUACCCGGGUAGUCCCAGCCGUAAACGAUGCAGACUCGGUGAUGGGUUGGCUUCGCGCUAACCCAGUGCCGCAGGGAAGCCGUUAAGUCUGCCGCCUGGGGAGUACGGUCGCAAGACUGAAACUUAAAGGAAUUGGCGGGGGAGCACCACAAGGGGUGAAGCCUGCGGUUCAAUUGGAGUCAACGCCGGG
RNAcentral lists this ribosomal RNA (749 nucleotides) under uncultured archaeon. RNAcentral describes it as "bacterial SSU rRNA". It matches the Rfam family "Archaeal small subunit ribosomal RNA", at positions 170 to 922 of the family's 1478-position model. The record is from RNAcentral.